RNAcentral lists this ribosomal RNA (122 nucleotides) under Copidosoma floridanum. Lineage: Eukaryota; Metazoa; Arthropoda; Insecta; Hymenoptera; Encyrtidae. The record is from RNAcentral.
GUCAACGUCCAUACCAUGCUGAAAGUACCGGUUCUCGUCUGAUCACCGAAGUCAAGCAGCAUUGGGCGCGGUUAGUACUUGGAUGGGUGACCGCUUGGGAACCCCGCGUGCUGUUGACACCC